RNAcentral lists this ribosomal RNA (253 nucleotides) under uncultured bacterium. RNAcentral's name for it is "partial 16S ribosomal RNA". It matches the Rfam family "Bacterial small subunit ribosomal RNA", at positions 524 to 776 of the family's 1533-position model. The record is from RNAcentral.
UACAGAGGUCUCAAGCGUUGUUCGGAUUCAUUGGGCGUAAAGGGUGCGUAGGCGGCGCGGUAAGUCGGGUGUGAAAUUUCGAGGCUUAACUUCGAAACUGCAUUCGAUACUGCCGUGCUUGAGGACUGGAGAGGAGACUGGAAUUUACGGUGUAGCGGUGAAAUGCGUAGAUAUCAGGAAGAACACCAAUGGCGAAAGCAGCUCUCUGGGACGGUACUGACGCUGAGACGCGAAAGCGUGGGGAGCGAACAGG